ACAACAAACCCAGUGUAUUCCCACUUAGUGGGGUCUGGGGGGGUAAGAUGUACGCAGUCCAUACCUCUACCUCUGAUGAAGUAGAAAGGCUGUUUUCGAAAGACCCCCGGCUCAAGGCACAAGAUAUCACACAAACACAUAGUAAAGCACAGAAGCAGAUGACAUAACAUAAAUACGACACCCAUAAGGAAUAUAAAACAGAGGAAAGCAGAGGAAAGCACACAGAUUUGUAAUAAGCAUGGAACACUGAAUACGGAAUCAUAACGGGAAUAAAAAAUAAAAAAAACCCCCACCA
Molecule: long non-coding RNA, 295 nt
Filed under: Capsicum annuum
Lineage: Eukaryota; Viridiplantae; Streptophyta; Magnoliopsida; Solanales; Solanaceae
Description: long non-coding RNA (CANN_LNC002510)
Source: RNAcentral